UACGUAGGGUGCGAGCGUUAAUCGGAAUUACUGGGCGUAAAGCGUGCGCAGGCGGUUCGUUAUGUCCGAUGUGAAAGCCCCGAGCUCAACUUGGGAAUGGCAUUGGAAACUGGCGGGCUGGAGUGUGGCAGAGGGGGGUGGAAUUCCACGUGUAGCAGUGAAAUGCGUAGAGAUGUGGAGGAACACCGAUGGCGAAGGCAGCCCCCUGGGCUAACACUGACGCUCAUGCACGAAAGCGUGGGGAGCAAACAGG
This 253-nucleotide ribosomal RNA is filed under the name uncultured bacterium. Its description in RNAcentral is "partial 16S ribosomal RNA". It matches the Rfam family "Bacterial small subunit ribosomal RNA", at positions 524 to 776 of the family's 1533-position model. The record is from RNAcentral.